Molecule: long non-coding RNA, 1125 nt
Organism: Cyprinodon variegatus (sheepshead minnow)
Lineage: Eukaryota; Metazoa; Chordata; Actinopteri; Cyprinodontiformes; Cyprinodontidae
Exons: 2
Source: RefSeq, a predicted model, not a curated record
AGAACAGAAAACCCAAACAGAGGGAAGAUAUUUGGUAAUGUAAACCUAUUUUUUUUUUUUUAUAUAAUUAAUAAAUUUUUCUGACCAUUCUGUUUCAUGAAAACAAAUAGCAAAUUAAAUACUAAAAAAAAAAAAAUAAAAAAAAUAAAACAUACAUCCCUCUUCUGUGGGAGUUCACUUGAACUUAAAGUGCAACUAAAAACGAGCCAUAAAAGAUGCUUGUAAAACAUGUUGGUAACCCCCGCCUUUAUAAACAAUGAAAAUAUAACACUCAAAAUGUUUGCAGCUUAUGGUAUCAAAUGAUCUGCAUGUUGAACAAUUUUUUCUAUGAACAAUGAUGGUCUAAUAUUACUCUUAACAUCUGUAAAGCCCUUGGGGUGGAUAAAGGGGCAAAGAAUACAGGUUUUCUGAAAUUAUGUAUUUAUAAAUGAAUAUCCUAGGUUAUUAAGUAACCUAAAAUAGAUUUGAUUGUGAUUUUUCAUUUUUAUUUUAGACCAUAAAUCUAAAUAAAAUAACUCAGAGACAUCUGGCUAAAAGAUGCUGUUAUGGAAUUAACAUAAGAGAUUAUCUAUUAGUAGAGGCCUAAUAUUUUAAAGAUUUCAGAGUACAAAACUGACAGUGCUCCCAAAGCUGAGCUUCAUAACAAGAACAAACUGAUUUGUGUGUGAAAACUUUGGAGAAGACUGUGUGCAACCUUUUUGCAUGUGCGCCUUCAUGAAUAUGCAGAGCAUAAGGUUUUAACCAAACUGUGACAAUUCACCACUAAAGGAUUUUCAAAGGGCUUAAGAGUAAAAUCUUACUUUAGCAUUUUUUCAAACCUCAGACUCCUUGUAGUUAAUUUUCCUCUAUAUUCAGCAUCUCCUUUGUUUCCCCGUCUUUCAUUACUAGACGGACUGAUUAAUCCAGGAAUGAAAGCCAGGAAACACAGGAGCUGGCUGAAGCUCAGAAUGAAGGGGAGUUGGGCGUAUAGCCCAUAGAAGAGAAGGGAGUCAAAACACCCAUAUAUUCUGUGUGCAAUUUAGCUUUUCCUAAUGGAACCAUCUUAAUAUCAUGUUACCGGUAUAUCAGAAAAGCACAACAAACAUAACAUUAUGUAGUCAAGGUGGUAUUAACUUAAAAAAAAAA